UUCAUGUGGUAUGCACGCGGUUUUGUCUCCGGCUCCAUUCAUCGGGCUUUCUGCCGCUGCAUCAACGACUAGACACAUCCCGCGCGACCCACACAGAACGUCGCUCUGCACUUCGCCCUCUCUCGCCUUAUCGUCGACCUCCUCUCGUACCUCGUGAUGCCGGUUCCAUUGUAUUGGCGGAUGGCGUGCCGUUCAUAUCAGUUCACCAUAUGCGCGACAAGCUACCUGCUGCGUUGGCGAGAGCCAGCAGUCACCCAAGGCUCCGGCGCCCUGGCAACGUUGCCGCAUCUGGUACGUGGGGCGAGGCUAAAGCGGGGGCUUCUGGUCACAGAUGCAAUGAUCAUGAAGCUUGGCCUCGUCGACGACUUCAUCGACGAGAUGAAGAAGCAGGGCGCCGAGCUGGCCAUCUACAAGGACGUUUUGCCCAACCCCACCAUCGACAUGGUGGAGGAGGCCAGUGCACUGUACAAGAAGAAUAAGUGCGACUACCUCGUUGCCGUCGGUGGCGGGAGCGUCAUGGACUGCGCGAAGCUGAUUGGCGUGCGCCAGGCGCGCCCCCGCACCCCGCUUCCGUACAUGCGGGGCCUCCUCCGUGUUCUGUGGCCACUGCCGCCGCUCAUCGCCGUUCCUACAACGGCGGGAACGGGGAGCGAGUGCACGAUUGCCGCUGUUGUCAGCGACCCCGCGAAAAAAGACAAGCUUGUCGUCAUGGAUCCCUUCCUUACUCCCUCCCACUGCGUGCUCGACCCGGCCCUGACAAUGACACUGCCCAAGUUUGUGACGGCCACCACCGGCAUGGACGCCUUGACGCAUGUUGUGGAAGCGUACACGAACGUCUUCCACUACCGCACCGUAGACAAGGCGGCACUGCGCGCCAUGGAGCUGCUCGCCAAAUACCUUCCGUGCGCGUACAAGGACGGGAGCAACCUGGAGGCGCGCGAGAAGAUGCUGCAGGCGUCGUACCUCGCCGGUCUCUCCUUCACACGUGCGGGUGUCGGCAACGUGCACGCGGCGGCGCACGCGGUGGGUGGGUUGUACAAUGUGCCGCACGGCUACGCGAACGCCGUGAUUCUACCGCACGUGCUGGACAUGUACGGCAGCGCGGCGCACAAGUCGCUCGCUCGGCUUGCUGAGGCAGCAAACAUCGUUGGUGGCAACGACGCCGAGAAGGCGGCGAACUUCAUUUCGUGGGUUCGCGAGAUGAAUGCGCAGAUGCAGAUACCAACGACGCUCGGCGCCAGUGACUCGCGGUGGGUCCCUCAGGAGGAGGACAUCCCCUUCCUCGUAAAGCACGCCGUCAUCGAGGCGAAUCCAUUCUACGCCGUGCCGGUGAUAUUUGGAGAGGAGGAAAUGACUGAGCUCUUCCGCCGCAUCAUGUGAGAAAUUGUGCAGUGCGUGUAUGCGCACAGAACGGGUAGGCGUGCGCUAGCAGUUGGUGUGGUGCUCGAGACGUGCUCACGCAUCCCUUCACAGAAGGCGCGUCCUUCCUUUUCCCUUGCCGCGUUACGUGAACCUGCUGAGCUGUUCGUGUAGAGAGGUGUGAAGAGGGUGUCUCGGCAGUUUUGCUCAUAUAUCGAAGAUGUUUGCUCCACGAAGAAAAUAUAUGAUACGUAUGCCAAACCCUUCUGUUUUCCCGCGUUCCCUCCUCGGGCGUCUGCUCGUGGUGGGCCGCAUUCCCAUCAACGGAUGGCCGCAGGCGGGCGCACCGACUCGGUCUCGCCUUCCCCCGAAACAAAAGGAACGUGUGCCUGGGAAGGGGGGGGGCGCCUAAGCCGCCUCGCGCGCGCC
RNAcentral lists this unclassified non-coding RNA (1788 nucleotides) under Leishmania donovani. RNAcentral's name for it is "gene:LdHU3.30.2860(CDS-product:alcohol_dehydrogen ase_putative)". Lineage: Eukaryota; Euglenozoa; Kinetoplastea; Trypanosomatida; Trypanosomatidae. The record is from RNAcentral.